This 429-nucleotide ribosomal RNA is filed under the name uncultured bacterium. RNAcentral describes it as "bacterial SSU rRNA". It matches the Rfam family "Bacterial small subunit ribosomal RNA", at positions 355 to 776 of the family's 1533-position model. The record is from RNAcentral.
UGGGGAAUAUUGCGCAAUGGACGAAAGUCUGACGCAGCGACGCCGCGUGAGGGAUGAAGGUUUUCGGAUCGUAAACCUCUGUCAGGGGGGAAGAAAGCACAGGUUGCCAAUCAGGCUUGUGUUGACGGUACCUCCAAAGGAAGCGCCGGCUAACUCCGUGCCAGCAGCCGCGGUAAUACGGAGGGCGCAAGCGUUAAUCGGAAUCACUGGGCGUAAAGCGCGCGUAGGCUGUUUUGUAAGCCAGAGGUGAAAGCCCGCAGCUCAACUGCGGAAAUGCCUUUGGAACUGCAGGACUUGAAUCCAGGAGAGGGUGGCGGAAUUCCAGGUGUAGGAGUGAAAUCCGUAGAUAUCUGGAGGAACACCAGCGGCGAAGGCGGCCACCUGGCCUGGAAUUGACGCUGAGGCGCGAAAGCGUGGGGAGCAAACAGG